This 766-nucleotide long non-coding RNA is filed under the name Pan troglodytes (chimpanzee). RNAcentral's name for it is "long non-coding RNA NONPTRT003605". The record is from RNAcentral. Lineage: Eukaryota; Metazoa; Chordata; Mammalia; Primates; Hominidae.
UGCACGUUCCCGGGCCCCGCCCGCUGGCACAAGGCAGGCAGGUGCGAGGAUGCGCCUCGGCUUUGGUACUUUUUUUUUUUAAUACUUCCCAGGUGAUUCUGACGCAGGCGCUCCACGGAAACCCUCCGAGAAUUCUGGGGGCCGUGGGGCCGCCCAGCUCAGUCCGGAGCUCCGGAACUCGGGGAAGAGCGUCCGGGAGCCGGGUCUGGGUUCCACACUCCGUCCGCCCCGAUGGCAGAGAGUGAGAUACGGACGCCCCGGGACGAGGGGCUCAGGACCCGGCUAUGGACACCUGCCUCCAUCUCCCGCCAGGUAUUUCACCCCAAUAAUAAAAUAAUAAUACCAGAAGCUGAAGAGUAAUCAGGACCUCAGGAUUACUCAUAGAUAACACAGGUGUGAAGAGAGGGGAGAGCAGCAAAGGCUGAGCUGCGUGUGCCUGGUCCCUUCCAGACUUUCCAAAUAACUUUGCCCCACGGAGGACAAGGAAAGCCAAAAGAGAGAAGCCAGGAUUGUUAGUCUUGGAAAAUGCCUCCAUAUAGAAACAUGAGCCGGAGAAUAAAUCACUUGCCUCUCUAACCAGUUGGAUUUGGUCCGUGAGUUCCUAGUUUUGUUCACCUGACUUAGUCCCUGACUUUUAAAGUCAAGUGCAUCAACAUGCUGCCAGUACUUUGAUGAACAUCUAUACAGGAUCCAUCUCUACAGCAGUGAAUUCCACCUGGGGUAAAGUAUGCGUGUAGGUUAGGAUGCUACAGCGGGACUCUGUCUG